RNAcentral lists this transfer RNA (76 nucleotides) under Arthrobacter sp. RNAcentral's name for it is "tRNA-Arg". It matches the Rfam family "tRNA". From Rfam's summary of the family: Transfer RNA (tRNA) molecules are approximately 80 nucleotides in length. Their secondary structure includes four short double-helical elements and three loops (D, anti-codon, and T loops). Lineage: Bacteria; Bacillati; Actinomycetota; Actinomycetes; Micrococcales; Micrococcaceae. RNAcentral also lists the same sequence under 89 other names. The record is from RNAcentral.
GCCCUCGUAGCUCAGGGGAUAGAGCGUCUGCCUCCGGAGCAGAAGGUCGUAGGUUCGAAUCCUAUCGAGGGCACCA